CAAGAUUCUAUUUGAGGGUCAUUCUUAAACUGUGGCCUGUAAAGAAAGUAAAGCUGUUUUGUCCGCAGUAAGCUGCUGAAUGUAGGAACACACUGGAGCUGUCAGGACCAAGAGGAUGUAUGGAAUGUGGUUCAUCCACCUCAGUCUAAGGAAUGCUCAUCAGUGGGAAAUCCAGGGAAAGGUGAAUUCUCUGAUUCUCCACCAGGAGGGGCACAGAGACAACCUUGCAUUUACUGCUUCCAGCAGCCAGUUCAGGGAGUUGAGACAGCACGUUUUAGUGCAGCCAGCAAAAGAAGUGGAAGUUUAGACUGAGCACAAAAACACUUUAUCAGAAAAAAAGGAAACCCCAAAAUAUUGAGGUGCUUUACAGUGCCAGGAGCCUUCAGUAUGACCGAGCACAUACAGGUCCUUCAACAGCAAAAAAAUAAUCUCCUUUACUUUGCUUACCAUUGUGAGUAGCUGGACAGACUAAGUUUCUGUCAGUAGGCCAGUUUCUUUC
Long non-coding RNA from Parus major (Great Tit), 499 nucleotides. NCBI's taxonomy places the organism in Eukaryota, Metazoa, Chordata, Aves, Passeriformes, Paridae. The record is from Ensembl.